AACGAACGCUGGCGGCAGGCUUAACACAUGCAAGUCGAACGGCAGCACGGGAGCUUGCUCCUGGUGGCGAGUGGCGAACGGGUGAGUAAUGCAUCGGAACGUGCCCUGAAGUGGGGGAUAACGUAGCGAAAGUUACGCUAAUACCGCAUAUUCUGUGAGCAGGAAAGCAGGGGAUCUUCGGACCUUGCGCUUUUGGAGCGGCCGAUGUCGGAUUAGCUAGUUGGUGGGUAAAGGCCCACCAAGGCGACGAUCCGUAGCGGGUCUGAGAGGAUGAUCCGCCACACUGGAACUGAGACACGGUCCAGACUCCUACGGGAGGCAGCAGUGGGGAAUUUUGGACAAUGGGCGCAAGCCUGAUCCAGCCAUGCCGCGUGAGUGAAGAAGGCC
Molecule: ribosomal RNA, 387 nt
Filed under: uncultured bacterium
Lineage: Bacteria
Description: bacterial SSU rRNA
Rfam family: Bacterial small subunit ribosomal RNA
Source: RNAcentral